GUCACUAAUUUCAUUUGGCCUUUCCAAGGCUGGAGCUGCUGGUCUGGGCACUUUCUCCAGCUUUUUUGGGGCUCCUCUGAGCAAGGUGCUUCAGCACCCACUUGGCUUCAGGUGGGAACAUUGUGAUGAUGUGGGGGAGCUGGUGGGCACUGAUAAUUCUGCUCUCAGCAUUUAAACCUCUCAUGGUGCUGCUACCCAUAAAGGAAAGUCUUGAUGCCAUCAAGUGUAACGAUACCAUUAAACUGAGUUGGGAAGCAUCGGGUAGACUUAAACUUAGAAUUAAUGCAAGAAUAUACAAAUACAGUCAGUCCAUGGCUCUGUCUAGCCCGACAUCCUCUACCCCACAGGAGAUGCUUUGAAAGAAUCUAAACACCAUUUGAUGUUUGACUCUGGGGAUGUCUCCUGCCGCAAGGAAUUCCAUGGCUCUUUCAUAUGUGGUGUGGAAAAAACGUACAUUUGGGGGGAAAGUUGAACCUGCCACCUCCUAGUUUUGUUUGGCAUCCAGUGUAUCUGGGCUCUAAGGGAUUGUGCUUUGUUUUUCAGAAACUUUAAUGGGUGAGAGGAAGCUGUGACUCAGCUGCUGAUGAAUCACUGCUGCUCCAGAUUACAUGUCUCUCUGCUUACUGGUGCCCCUCAAGCACAGGAUCUGAGUAAGCCCAUGCUGGAUAAACUCUUUUCAGAUCAUGGGAUAUAGGUCCGAGCCCAGGCCUAGGACCAUAUGGAAAUCAAAUCCCCACCUCCAGCCCCCGUUUUCCAUCCAUCCUUCCCAAAUUCCUUAUUUCCAUUUUCAGCUGAUUUGUUUACCUGUUUGCCCAAUUACACAGCUGGGAGCUUCACUCCUGCCUUCAUAACACCCAUCUGGUACCUAGGGCCUGUAUAUUGGGGUAUUUCUUAGUGAGGUGGGAUGGAAGGUGAUGCAAAGUGACUGCAAACUUUCUCCCACCUUUCUUCCUCAGCUGCUUGCUCUGCUCUCUGGCUGUGAUUUCUGUUUGCAGAUGCUAGCCUGACUUAAAGUAAGCAAUGGAAAACUCUGCUCCCGGAGAAACAUUCCUCUCAUUUUUCCCCCACGCUUCUGCCUUCUCCCCUCCCUCUCCCCCUCCCACAAAAAAAGCAUGCAGUUCAAACACCAAAAAUAAAGCAUGCCUGGUCGUGGGCUGGAUAAAAAUAGCAGCCCUUGGUAUUUACUGUAGCAGCAGCAAUGGGUUUUCCGGCUUCAGAGGAGAAUGGAGAAGCAGAAGUGGGAUGGGAUGGUGAUGCUUUGGUGGGGUGGAGGACAAGCACUGAGCUGGUGUUUUUAGGGGCUGGCAGGCUCCGUGACAGCUGUUUCAUCCCCUCUUCUCCCUCAGUUGGUGCAUACUGGGCUCUGUCCCCUCUGAGAAGGGGGAGUCCCAGGGGUGGGUUGGGGUCAGUUGUCCCAGUCCCACCCUUGUCCCACCUUUCAAUGUGCUGGUCUGCGGCUGCCUGGGGCUCAGUCCUGCAUGGGCAGUGAUGGGGGAAAGGCUGCUCUUAGGGGACAUGCCCCCAAACUGGUGAGGCUUUUGGAGGUGUCUCUUCCUCACCCAUCACCUGGGAGGCUUUGGGUGCAGCUGGCUUGCUGAGGUGGGUCUGGGUUUGCUGGAGCAUCCCUCCCUGGGGCGUGGGGGAAAGAAAUUGCUGGGGUAGGGAGAGAGGUGGGGUUCUCAGGUGCAUCGUCAAGUCCCGCUUGGUGUUUGUGUUGA
Long non-coding RNA from Neopsephotus bourkii (Bourke's parrot), 1718 nucleotides. RefSeq lists it as uncharacterized. The record is from RefSeq and is a predicted model, not a curated record. The transcript has 2 exons. Lineage: Eukaryota; Metazoa; Chordata; Aves; Psittaciformes; Psittacidae.